RNAcentral lists this unclassified non-coding RNA (806 nucleotides) under Hevea brasiliensis (rubber tree). Lineage: Eukaryota; Viridiplantae; Streptophyta; Magnoliopsida; Malpighiales; Euphorbiaceae. The record is from RNAcentral.
UUCUUUUCCUCAAUGAAUGAAUAUUUCAACUGUACAAUGUAUCUCUAAACCACGUCCCUUGUGUUUAUAAUAACAAGCUUCUGAAACAGCAGGUGUAAAAAGGGAUAAAAGAAGUAAAAACCUAUAUCCCUACAGCUAAAUAACCAUUUGCUUUCAACAUACAACUGAUCUUACAAAAAGUAGCUAAACAAAAAAGGAAAAAAGAGAGAAAAGGGAGGGUAUAUUUGUGGAGUGAGAAGACAGGAAAGGAUUUUCCAUCUUCAUUGACCACAUACUUCACUGUUUACCACCAAAGUGAAGAGAUUCCGAGCAGGAUACCGUGACGACGAGCAAAACUUGGUAUAUACAUCUUAUUGCGUCACAGGUCUACUUCUUGAAGGUCAUCACUGAGACUGCCGCCAUUCGUUGAGGAAUGCAUCAAAUUAACAUCACUAGGAAUGAAUGACGACGGAGGCAUACUCAAUCUAGAGCCCAGUGGUUUUAGCUCAGAUUUAUUUGCGGAUAAAGCAUCAGGAAAGCUGCCACUCCAUGAUGCAGUUCGCCGGGAGUUAGCUGAUAGAGAGCUAGCAACAGCUCCUUUAUUGGAGAGAUUGUCCAUGCUUGCAAAUCUUUGGAUAGGCGCAGUACUUGAUGUUGGUGAAGGAAAAUGGGUCGGUCCAUUAGCAGCAGAAACUGAAUCACUCUCACUAUUGCUUGAAGUUUCUUGCUCGUGGAAAGUACUGUUCCCCGUCUCUUCAACAGGGGACAUCGGGGCGGGAACAAAAAACUUGGCAUUGCCAGCGGUAGCUGGCUUUAUGGAAGGAACA